Agrilus planipennis (emerald ash borer) is the source of this 88-nucleotide non-coding RNA. NCBI's taxonomy places the organism in Eukaryota, Metazoa, Arthropoda, Insecta, Coleoptera, Buprestidae. The record is from Rfam.
GAGGAGGGUUUUUAGUUGGUAGGCGCUCCCACCAGGAGUGAAUCCGACACUACCCCCCUUGGGGGCUGUCUUUAGAUUUCCCCUCCUC